UUAUUCUGACGUCGGAUGAUAAUCUAUUUUCUUAGUUAUUAUCACGUAUACGGAAGAUAAACAAUAUCAUUAAUAUCUAUGUUCUUAGUUCGCGGUUAUUAUCAUAUUCGUUUGACGGUUUGUUGUGUUCACCUGUUAGAUAAUGGUCGAAUAAUAUUAUAUCUAUGCGUUUACCACCGUUGCGGCAUCGUUGGUGGCAGCGCGGCGCGCGGUUUAAAUGUGUUUGCGGCCGAAAAAACGACAAUUCAAACCGAAAUACCGAUCGUGUGUCUAUACGCACACUGAGACACGACUACACGAGCCUUAUCGGACCGAUACAAGAGUACAAGACGCUCGACUGGGCCACUAGACGUCGUCGUCACUGCUCGGUGUGCUCUUGCGUAGUAGUGCGCGUCGGUAAAGUCGGUUAGAAAAUGUGCCGUUAGCGAACGACCGAAUUUCAUUGCACGAACCACGCUCCCGAUCAGUCGAUAUUAGGUCUCGAAGAGACGCGAAGAUUCAUUCAUUAUUUCUCAGACAACUAAAUCGUAAAACACGAAUCUUCUAUAAUAAUAAGUGUGGCAAAGCGUUCAAUAUGAAGUAUAUUAUUAUGUGUUCAUCUGCUAGUUUUUAACUGUAGAAUAUUGGGGCCGCGUACUUCUCGAGUCAAAACCAAGUUGUCUAGUACAUUAAAGAAUAUCUUUGCAAAAAUGUUCGCCAGUGCCUUCGAAAAAUCUCAAUACAUCAUUUCUGCUUAAAUAUUUGCACCAACUUCCCAAAUGUCAAGGAUUAUGUUGAAACAUGAAAUAAUAGAUUUAACAAGAACAAGAACAAUCAAAUAUUAAAAGACGGUUUUCCGUUGUUGUUGAGGAUAAAAUCAAAUUAGUACACAUACGGUAUUUUUUUUUUUUUUUAUUAUUAAA
This is a long non-coding RNA of Aphis gossypii (cotton aphid), 902 nucleotides long. RefSeq lists it as uncharacterized. NCBI's taxonomy places the organism in Eukaryota, Metazoa, Arthropoda, Insecta, Hemiptera, Aphididae. The record is from RefSeq and is a predicted model, not a curated record. The transcript has 2 exons.